GACGAACGCUGGCGGCGUGCCUAAUACAUGCAAGUUGAGCGAUGAAGCUUGGUGCUUGCUCCAAUUUGAAGAGCAGCGAACGGGUGAGUAACGCGUGGGGAAUCUGCCUUUGAGCGGGGGACAACAUUUGGAAACGAAUGCUAAUACCGCAUAAUAACUUUAAACAUAAGUUUUAAGUUUGAAAGAUGCAAUUGCAUCACUCAAAGAUGAUCCCGCGUUGUAUUAGCUAGUUGGUGAGGUAAAGGCUCACCAAGGCGAUGAUACAUAGCCGACCUGAGAGGGUGAUCGGCCACAUUGGGACUGAGACACGGCCCAAACUCCUACGGGAGGCAGCAGUAGGGAAUCUUCGGCAAUGGACGAAAGUCUGACCGAGCAACGCCGCGUGAGUGAAGAAGGGUUUCGGAUCGUAAAACUCUGUUGGUAGAGAAGAACGUUGGUGAGAGUGGAAAGCUCAUCAAGUGACGGUAACUACCCAGAAAGGGACGGCUAACUACGUG
RNAcentral lists this ribosomal RNA (497 nucleotides) under uncultured bacterium. RNAcentral's name for it is "partial 16S ribosomal RNA". It matches the Rfam family "Bacterial small subunit ribosomal RNA", at positions 28 to 507 of the family's 1533-position model. The record is from RNAcentral.